GCGUUUUUAGUUUAAGGGAUAAAACGUCAAUCUUCUAAAUUGAAUAGUGAAGGUUCAAGUCCUUCAAAACGUG
Molecule: transfer RNA, 73 nt
Filed under: Caulacanthus okamurae
Lineage: Eukaryota; Rhodophyta; Florideophyceae; Gigartinales; Caulacanthaceae
Description: tRNA-Arg
Rfam family: tRNA
About the family: Transfer RNA (tRNA) molecules are approximately 80 nucleotides in length. Their secondary structure includes four short double-helical elements and three loops (D, anti-codon, and T loops). Further hydrogen bonds mediate the characteristic L-shaped molecular structure. tRNAs have two regions of fundamental functional importance: the anti-codon, which is responsible for specific mRNA codon recognition, and the 3' end, to which the tRNAs corresponding amino acid is attached (by aminoacyl-tRNA synthetases). tRNAs cope with the degeneracy of the genetic code in two manners: having more than one tRNA (with a specific anti-codon) for a particular amino acid; and 'wobble' base-pairing, i.e. permitting non-standard base-pairing at the 3rd anti-codon position.
Source: RNAcentral